UGGGGAAUAUUGGACAAUGGGGGAAACCCUGAUUCAGCAAUGCCGCGUGAGUGAAGAAGGCCUUAGGGUUGUAAAGCUCUUUCGCCCGCGAAGAUAAUGACGGUAGCGGGAGAAGAAGCCCCGGCUAACUCCGUGCCAGCAGCCGCGGUAAUACGGAGGGGGCUAGCGUUGUUCGGAAUUACUGGGCGUAAAGCGUACGUAGGCGGAUGCGCAAGUUGGGGGUGAAAUCCCGGGGCUUAACCUCGGAAUUGCCCUCAAAACUGCACGUCUUGAGACCGAGAGAGGUAAGGGGAAUUCCUAGUGUAGAGGUGAAAUUCGUAGAUAUUAGGAAGAACACCAGUGGCGAAGGCGCCUUACUGGCUCGGUACUGACGCUGAGGUACGAAAGCGUGGGGAGCAAACA
RNAcentral lists this ribosomal RNA (402 nucleotides) under uncultured bacterium. RNAcentral's name for it is "bacterial SSU rRNA". It matches the Rfam family "Bacterial small subunit ribosomal RNA", at positions 355 to 774 of the family's 1533-position model. The record is from RNAcentral.